UUAACUAUUAUAUAGUACUCAGACAGCAAAGAUUCAAGGGUUUCGAUCCUCUGGCAGACGGUGAAGUCUGCCAAAGCAACAAAGUUUGAUAUACAAAAGGGUGAGAAUAGGGCUGUUAAGCCUAAAUUCUUUAAUGAUCCUUCCGCAGGUUCACCUACGGAAA
RNAcentral lists this unclassified non-coding RNA (163 nucleotides) under uncultured fungus. RNAcentral describes it as "sequence contains ITS1". Lineage: Eukaryota; Fungi. The record is from RNAcentral.